RNAcentral lists this transfer RNA (89 nucleotides) under Bacteroidales bacterium. Its description in RNAcentral is "tRNA-Ser". It matches the Rfam family "tRNA". From Rfam's summary of the family: Transfer RNA (tRNA) molecules are approximately 80 nucleotides in length. The record is from RNAcentral. Lineage: Bacteria; Pseudomonadati; Bacteroidota; Bacteroidia; Bacteroidales.
GGAGAGAUGGGAGAGUGGCUUAAUCCACCGGUUUGCUAAACCGGCGUGCCCUGAAUAGGGUACCGGGGGUUCAAAUCCCCCUCUCUCCG